AACGAACGCUGGCGGCAGGCCUAACACAUGCAAGUCGAACGAGAUCUUCGGAUCUAGUGGCGGACGGGUGAGUAACGCGUGGGAACGUGCCCUUCUCUACGGAAUAGUCCUGGGAAACUGGGUUUAAUACCGUAUACGCCCUUCGGGGGAAAGAAUUUCGGGGAAGGAUCGGCCCGCGUUGGAUUAGGUAGUUGGUGGGGUAAUGGCCUACCAAGCCGACGAUCCAUAGCUGGUUUGAGAGGAUGAUCAGCCACACUGGGACUGAGACACGGCCCAGACUCCUACGGGAGGCAGCAGUGGGGAAUAUUGCACAAUGGGCGCAAGCCUGAUGCAGCAACGCCGCGUGAGCGAAGAAGGUCUUCGGAUCGUAAAGCUCUUUUCUUAGGGAAGAAAAUGACGGUACCUAAGGAAUAAGCACCGGCUAAAUACGUGCCAGCAGCCGCGGUAAU
Molecule: ribosomal RNA, 449 nt
Filed under: uncultured bacterium
Lineage: Bacteria
Description: bacterial SSU rRNA
Rfam family: Bacterial small subunit ribosomal RNA
Source: RNAcentral